UUAGAGUUUGAUCCUGGCUCAGGAUGAACGCUAGCGAUAGGCCUAACACAUGCAAGUCGAGGGGCAGCACAUGACGUAGCAAUACAGAUGGUGGCGACCGGCGCACGGGUGAGUAACACGUAUGCAACCUACCUUCAACAGGGGAAUAACCCGUCAAAAGACGGACUAAUACCCCAUAAUACAGGGCUCCCUCAUGGGAAUAUUUGUUAAAGAUUUAUCGGUUGAAGAUGGGCAUGCGUUCCAUUAGCUAGUUGGUGAGGUAACGGCUCACCAAGGCAACGAUGGAUAGGGGAACUGAGAGGUUUAUCCCCCACACUGGUACUGAGACACGGACCACACUCCUACGGGAGGCAGCAGUGAGGAAUAUUGGUCAAUGGAGGCAACUCUGAACCACCCACGUCGCGUGAAGGAUGACGGCCCUACGGGUUGUAAACUUCUUUUGUAAGGGAAUAAAGUUAGUUACGUGUAGCUAUUUGCAUGUACCUUACGAAUAAGGAUCGGCUAACUCCGUGCCAGCAGCCGCGGUAAUACGGAGGAUCCGAGCGUUAUCCGGAUUUAUUGGGUUUAAAGGGUGCGCAGGCGGAAGAUUAAGUCGGUGGUGAAAUUUUGCAGCUCAACUGUAAAAGUGCCAUUGAUACUGGUUUUCUUGAGUGUGGAUGAAGUAGGCGGAAUUUGUGGUGUAGCGGUGAAAUGCAUAGAUAUCACGAGGAACUCCGAUUGCGCAGGCAGCUUACUAAACCAUAACUGACGCUCAGGCACGAAGGCGUGGGGAUCAAACAGGAUUAGAUACCCUGGUAGUCCA
This 802-nucleotide ribosomal RNA is filed under the name uncultured bacterium. RNAcentral describes it as "bacterial SSU rRNA". It matches the Rfam family "Bacterial small subunit ribosomal RNA", at positions 1 to 797 of the family's 1533-position model. The record is from RNAcentral.